GGAGAGGUGGCCGAGCGGUUUAAGGCAACAGUCUUGAAAACUGUCGUAUCGCAAGGUACCGUGGGUUCGAAUCCCACCCUCUCCGCCA
RNAcentral lists this transfer RNA (88 nucleotides) under Candidatus Magasanikiibacteriota bacterium. RNAcentral's name for it is "Candidatus Magasanikbacteria bacterium tRNA-Ser". It matches the Rfam family "tRNA". Rfam says of the family: Transfer RNA (tRNA) molecules are approximately 80 nucleotides in length. Their secondary structure includes four short double-helical elements and three loops (D, anti-codon, and T loops). Lineage: Bacteria; Candidatus Magasanikiibacteriota. The record is from RNAcentral.